Molecule: long non-coding RNA, 1687 nt
Filed under: Homo sapiens (human)
Lineage: Eukaryota; Metazoa; Chordata; Mammalia; Primates; Hominidae
Description: HSALNT0096317
Source: RNAcentral
CGCUCGGUAAGCUUCCAGUAAAGUGUUCUAACUGGCCGUUGGUGGGGCAGGAGCUGGAGAAGCUCGACAUCCUGCAGUGGGUGAGACAGUUGUGCACAGUGAAGAAUUGUCUCACCUCCUGCAUGGCUUUCCAAUAAACAGAUGAUCUGAGCUUGGAACGAACUCCCCUUUACAAACAUCAACAAAGUGGUUUGGUAUGAAAUAUUUGUAUUCACUUAAAGUGGAAAGACAAUCUGCACACCUGGAGGAGAUAUUUGCAACAUUUACAACUGGCAAAGGUUUAUUACCAAGAAUAUAUAAAGAAGUCUUAUAAAUCAACAAGAAAGAAGAAAAACAACAGAAAGAAAUGGACAAAAGAAAAAGCAUUUUAUAAAAGAAGAAAUGCUCAUGGCCAGCAAACAUAUGGAGAUGUUCAAACUCAUGUGAAAUGUAAAUCAAGACCCAAUAAGAUAAGCUUUUAUGUCCACUAAAAUGGCAAAAUGUUAAUAGCUAGACAAUCCAAGUAUUGGAGAACAUACAGAUCCAUGGGAUCUCUUACAUAUCGCUUAUAAGGGUACGCAUUAGGACAUAGGACACUCACUUAGAAAAAGUGUGGCAUUAUCUUGCAAAAUCAAACACUCACAUAGGCUGCUGUGCAGGUCCUGAGUCUGUUUGCCCUCAGAUCCACUCUUUGCUAUGCCCUUAUGUCCUCAGUUUUCCAGCAGGAUCUCGGCAGCCAUGUCAUCUUGCUUCCAGUUGGGCUCAGUUAAUAAAAGAGAGAGAAUGGAAGGUGGAAAGAAGGGAGAAGCCAAGGUGUUUCUCACCAGCACCCUCCCCUUCUCCUCUCAGGUAACAUCCCCUGUGGUGGCCACAGCUCUCCGAUGGGUCCAGUUCCCACAGGAAAGCCAGCCAUGAUUCUAACUUCUACCAGGUGACCCUGGCCCUGGGCUCUGGUGACACUAACCUUUUGUUUCUCUAGUCCUGGGGAGGGGUAGUAACAGCUUCCUGCUAUUAUUAAUUUAUGGAUUGCCUCAUUGCCUCCUGUGAGGCUUCUCAGCUAUUGAUUACCAUACUACUCAGCAAUAAAAAGGAAAAAACUAUUGAUACAUGCAACAACUUUGUCGGACCACAAGAGAAUUUUACCAACUAAAAAAGCCAGUCUCACAUUGUUACAUACUAUAUGAUUCCACUUACAUAACCUUCUAGAAAUGACAAAAUUAUUGAGGUGAAGAACAGAUUAGUGGUUGCCAAGGGUUAAAGACAGGGUUGGGGUUGGAGAAAGAAAUCAGUGUACCUAAAAAGAAGCAGCCAGAGGGAUCUUUGUGGUGACGGGACAGUUCUGUAUCUUGAUUGUGGUGGUGGUUAUACAAAUCUACGUGUAAUAAAGUUUUAUGUGUGCAUAGAACUAUGUACAUACUCAAACAAAUGCAUGUAACCCUGGUGAAAUCUGAAUAAGGUCUGUGGAUUGUGCCAAUACCAGUGACCUGGUUUUGAUACUGUAUUAUAGCUAUCUAAGACAUUAUUAUCAGGAGAAAAUGGGGGAAAGGUACAUGUACUUUUCUGUACUAUUUUUGCAACUUCUCGUGAAUCUGUUACUAUUUCAAAAUUAAAAGUAUCUGAAAAUCCAUAGAGUGGUUUCUGUUUUUUCUGAUUAGACCCUGACUGAUACUCCUACAACCCCACAAUUCCUUCCGCUCCUAGAUGUAUA